CCCUACCCCCCUACCACAUUGAGACAUCCACGGAAUCAUGCAGAGUUCCUUUUUUGCCGACAAGAAAACAGGGAGACAGGUGGUGCAUCAGGUCGUCAGCUGAGAUGUUGGGAAAGUCCCGCAAUCAGGCCAACCCCUCAACCCGGACCUACAUGUUAGGGAGGGGCAUCAGGAGAGGACCGGCGGGCAAAAAGGGAGAAAGGUGGGGAUGAGUCAAAAUCAUCAUGCCCCUUAUGACUGGGGACCACACGUAUACAAAUGGUCGUUAACAGAGGGAAGAAGACCGAUAGGGAGCAAACACCCAAAAAAAGAGAUCUCAGUUCGGAUUGCAGGCUGCAACCUCGCCUGCAUGAAGCAUGGAAUCUGCUAGUAAUCGCAGAUCAGCAUACGCGGGAUUCAC
Molecule: ribosomal RNA, 400 nt
Filed under: uncultured bacterium
Lineage: Bacteria
Description: bacterial SSU rRNA
Rfam family: Bacterial small subunit ribosomal RNA
Source: RNAcentral